CUUAUUAUUAAGACAAAGAGCCAAAUUCCUAAUUCAUAAAACCAGAAGGAAUUAUUAUUUUAAUGGCUGUAGACCGAGUCAUUUACUAUCCUGAAGACUGAAACAGAAUGAGAAAUACUCCAACAUCAUGGCCAUUCAGUCACCUACCAGUACCCUAACUGAACCCUGCGAAAUUAAUUCGGCAUUCAAAACUUAUUACUCUUCCCUUUACUCCUCUGAAGUAGUUUUGAAUGCUGAAAAAUGUGAGCAGUUUUUUUUUAAGAAUCUUCAGCUCCCUACUCUUACUGAUCAGGGUUCAGAAAAACUUCUCCAUUACGUUACAAGAGCUGAAAAAAGCCCUAGUCUCUAUGAGGAAAGUGUUGGGAUCUGGGGUGGUGCUGCUUGUUUUUUGGCUGUGUUUCCCCCUUUCUCCACCAGAGGGCGGCUGGGAUCCAUUCUGGAAGGGCUGACUGACGGUGGCUGGUCACCUACACACCUGCAGGUCGUUUAUCGUCAGGAGCUCCUUGUGAUUUUGUUUCUUGUGAAAAAUGUAUCUUUUGUGUCCUCUUUUCAGGUGAUCCAUUGUGACGCAGUGACUGAUUCGCACUAACAGUCUGAAUACUGGCAGUUUCCCUGUGCUCCAUUCUUCUCGUGUCGCCGUGGGCAUUACCUACUGGAAGCCCGAGUUCCACUUACCUCCAAGCCGUUGAACCAAACCUCUUUGGAUCCCUCUGUUGGCUGGCCCCUCACUCCUCCGGCCUGAAAGGCAGAACUGUUAACUCUCUCUUCUGUCGCUGUUCCCCGCCGAAUCACAGCCUACCCACCAUUGUUGAACGCCACCCCGGUAACCUCAGUAUUUCCCUCCUGCAUACUACUUCCUCCAUCCAAGUAAGCUCCCUUGGCGAUUCACAAUUUUAAGCUUUCUCGUCUUCAAAGCGUACCUUCUGCUUCUCUCCGCCCAACGUUCCCGAUUCCAGAAGCCACAAGCUCUUGGAUCUAGUUUUGAUUAUCGUUUCUAUUUUUUUUUAUUUUUAUUAAACAUAUUUAACUGA
Molecule: long non-coding RNA, 1031 nt
Organism: Poecilia latipinna (sailfin molly)
Lineage: Eukaryota; Metazoa; Chordata; Actinopteri; Cyprinodontiformes; Poeciliidae
Exons: 2
Source: RefSeq, a predicted model, not a curated record